UACGUAGGAGGCGAGCGUUAUCCGGAUUUACUGGGCGUAAAGGGCAAGUAGGCGGUGGCCAAAGUUGGGCGUGACAUCUCCCGGCUCAACUGGGAGGGGUCGUUCAAAACUAGGUCACUUGAGGGCAGGAGAGGGAAGCGGAAUUCCUAGUGUAGCGGUGGAAUGCUCAGAUAUUAGGAAGAACACCAGUGGCGAAGGCGGCUUCCUGGCCUGCACCUGACGCUGAGAGGCGAAAGCUAGGGGAGCGAACGGGCUUAGAUACCCGGGUAGUCCCUGAG
Molecule: ribosomal RNA, 278 nt
Filed under: uncultured prokaryote
Description: partial 16S ribosomal RNA
Rfam family: Bacterial small subunit ribosomal RNA
Source: RNAcentral